RNAcentral lists this microRNA precursor (89 nucleotides) under Otolemur garnettii (small-eared galago). RNAcentral's name for it is "miRNA (ENSOGAG00000028273.1)". The record is from RNAcentral. Lineage: Eukaryota; Metazoa; Chordata; Mammalia; Primates; Galagidae.
AGAAGAGCUGGCCAAGACCUGGUCCCAGCAGUUUGAGGAGAGCACCUCAGUGGUCACUUCACAGUUUGCUGAGGUUAGAGCUGGUAAGA